Long non-coding RNA from Hyla sarda, 404 nucleotides. RefSeq lists it as uncharacterized. NCBI's taxonomy places the organism in Eukaryota, Metazoa, Chordata, Amphibia, Anura, Hylidae. The record is from RefSeq and is a predicted model, not a curated record. The transcript is spliced from 5 exons.
CAGGCGCCGCUCACUGUUAUUGUAUCAUGCGUGCAGCGGUCGCUUGAGUUUGCGUCACUUCCGGUGUGUGUGCCGGGCCGGAAGCGGACGGGUGCGGAGCUCGGUGGUGAGCGCAGGGAGAAACCGGUUCUACAUAUUCCUUCCCUGGUUUGGCAGUGAGAGGCGCGCAGUCCUCAGGGGGGCGCUAUGGUGUUCUACUUCACUAGCAGUGUUGUCUCUCCGCCGUAUACGAUAUACAUGGGAAAAGACAAGUACGAAAAUGAGGAUCUUAUAAAAUACGGCUGGCUGGAAGAUAUAUGGUUCCAUGUGGAUAAGCUUUCCUCCGCUCAUGUUUACCUGCGACUACAUAAGGUAACUAUAACUGUAUAAGGACAGGUGAGGCGUGAAGGGAGCGCACGCUGUGU